AGAGUUUGAUCCUGGCUCAGAACGAACGCUGGCGGCAUGCCUAACACAUGCAAGUCGGACGAGACCUUCGGGUCUAGUGGCGCACGGGUGCGUAACGCGUGGGAAUCUGCCCUUGGGUUCGGGAUAACAGUUGGAAACGACUGCUAAUACCGGAUGAUGACUUCGGUCCAAAGAUUUAUCGCCCAGGGAUGAGCCCGCGUAGGAUUAGCUUGUUGGUGAGGUAAAGGCUCACCAAGGCGACGAUCCUUAGCUGGUCUGAGAGGAUGAUCAGCCACACUGGGACUGAGACACGGCCCAGACUCCUACGGGAGGCAGCAGUGGGGAAUAUUGGACAAUGGGCGAAAGCCUGAUCCAGCAAUGCCGCGUGAGUGAUGAAGGCCUUAGGGUUGUAAAGCUCUUUUACCCGGGAUGAUAAUGACAGUACCGGGAGAAUAAGCCCCGGCUAACUCCGUGCCAGCAGCCGCGGUAAUACGGAGAGGGGCUAGCGUNGUNCGGAAUUACUGGGCGUAAAGCGUACGUAGGCGGCGCUGUAAGUUAGACGUGAAAGCCCGGAGCUGACUCCGGAAUUGCCUUAAGACUGCAUCGCUUGAGUCAUGGAGAGGUCAGUNGACUUACGAGUGUACGAUGGUGACAAUUCGUACGAUAUUCGGAACGAACACCGAGUUGGGCGAAAAGCCGACCUAGCCUGGACGUGUAUUGACGCUGAGGUACGAAAGCCUGGGGAGCAACUGGAUCGAUACCUGGUAGUC
RNAcentral lists this ribosomal RNA (749 nucleotides) under uncultured bacterium. Its description in RNAcentral is "bacterial SSU rRNA". It matches the Rfam family "Bacterial small subunit ribosomal RNA", at positions 8 to 795 of the family's 1533-position model. The record is from RNAcentral.